This 301-nucleotide ribosomal RNA is filed under the name uncultured bacterium. Its description in RNAcentral is "partial 16S ribosomal RNA". It matches the Rfam family "Bacterial small subunit ribosomal RNA", at positions 509 to 808 of the family's 1533-position model. The record is from RNAcentral.
CAGUAGCCGCGGUAAUACGUAGGUGGCAAGCGUUGUCCGGAAUUAUUGGGCGUAAAGCGCGCGCAGGCGGAUCAGUUAGUCUGUCUUAAAAGUUCGGGGCUUAACCCCGUGAGGGGAUGGAAACUGCUGAUCUAGAGUAUCGGAGAGGAAAGUGGAAUUCCUAGUGUAGCGGUGAAAUGCGUAGAUAUUAGGAAGAACACCAGUGGCGAAGGCGACUUUCUGGACGAAAACUGACGCUGAGGCGCGAAAGCCAGGGGAGCGAACGGGAUUAGAUACCCCGGUAGUCCCUGUCUCUUAUACC